This 585-nucleotide ribosomal RNA is filed under the name uncultured bacterium. RNAcentral's name for it is "bacterial SSU rRNA". It matches the Rfam family "Bacterial small subunit ribosomal RNA", at positions 338 to 916 of the family's 1533-position model. The record is from RNAcentral.
CCUACGGGAGGCAGCAGUAGGGAAUCUUCCGCAAUGGACGAAAGUCUGACGGAGCAACGCCGCGUGAACGAUGAAGGCCUUCGGGUCGUAAAGUUCUGUUGUUAGGGAAGAACAAGUGCUAGUUGAAUAAGCUGGCACCUUGACGGUACCUAACCAGAAAGCCACGGCUAACUACGUGCCAGCAGCCGCGGUAAUACGUAGGUGGCAAGCGUUGUCCGGAAUUAUUGGGCGUAAAGCGCGCGCAGGCGGUUUCUUAAGUCUGAUGUGAAAGCCCCCGGCUCAACCGGGGAGGGUCAUUGGAAACUGGGAAACUUGAGUGCAGAAGAGGAAAGUGGAAUUCCAAGUGUAGCGGUGAAAUGCGUAGAGAUUUGGAGGAACACCAGUGGCGAAGGCGACUUUCUGGUCUGUAACUGACGCUGAGGCGCGAAAGCGUGGGGAGCAAACAGGAUUAGAUACCCUGGUAGUCCACGCUGUAAACGAUGAGUGCUAAGUGUUAGAGGGUUUCCGCCCUUUAGUGCUGAAGUUAACGCAUUAAGCACUCCGCCUGGGGAGUCGGUCGCAAGCUGAAACUUAAGGAAUUGACGG